Molecule: ribosomal RNA, 253 nt
Filed under: uncultured prokaryote
Description: partial 16S ribosomal RNA
Rfam family: Bacterial small subunit ribosomal RNA
Source: RNAcentral
GACGAACCGUGCGAACGUUGUUCGGAAUCACUGGGCUUAAAGGGCGCGUAGGCGGGCCACCAAGUCUGGGGUGAAAUCCUUCGGCUUAACCGGAGAAUUGCCUGAGAUACUGGUGGUCUUGAGGGAGGUAGGGGCACGCGGAACUUCCGGUGGAGCGGUGAAAUGCGUUGAUAUCGGAAGGAACGCCGGUGGCGAAGGCGGCUCACUGGGUCUUUUCUGACGCUGAGAAACGAAAGCUAGGGGAGCAAACGGG